CAUCCCGACUUACCAACCCUUUGCAAACUCCGAAUACCAGUAAGUACUAUCCGGGAGACACACGGCGGGUGCUAACGUCCGUCGUGGAGAGGGAAACAACCCAGACCGCCAGCUAAGGUCCCAAAGUAUUGCUAAGUGGGAAACGAUGUGGGAAGGCUCAGACAGCUAGGAUGUUGGCUUAGAAGCAGCCAUCAUUUAAAGAAAGCGUAAUAGCUCACUAGUCGAGUCGGCCUGCGCGGAAGAUGUAACGGGGCUAAGCAAUACACCGAAGCUGCGGCAAUGUCUUUUAGACAUUGGGUAGGGGAGCGUUCUGUAAGCCGUUGAAGGUGAA
This 331-nucleotide ribosomal RNA is filed under the name Vibrio cholerae. Its description in RNAcentral is "partial 23S ribosomal RNA". It matches the Rfam family "Bacterial large subunit ribosomal RNA", at positions 928 to 1260 of the family's 2925-position model. Lineage: Bacteria; Pseudomonadati; Pseudomonadota; Gammaproteobacteria; Vibrionales; Vibrionaceae. The record is from RNAcentral.